RNAcentral lists this ribosomal RNA (465 nucleotides) under uncultured bacterium. Its description in RNAcentral is "partial 16S ribosomal RNA". It matches the Rfam family "Bacterial small subunit ribosomal RNA", at positions 338 to 795 of the family's 1533-position model. The record is from RNAcentral.
CCUACGGGAGGCAGCAGUGGGGAAUUUUGCGCAAUGCUCGUAAGAGUGACGCAGCGACGCCGCGUGAAUGACGAAGGCCUUCGGGUCGUAAAGUUCUUUCGACAGGGAAGAAAAUGCCUAUAAGUAACUGUGUUUGUAUUGCCGUUACCUGUAUAAGCAGCCCCGGCUAACUCCGUGCCAGCAGCCGCGGUAAUCCGGAGGGGGCGUGCGUUGUUCGGAGUGAUUGGGCGUAAAGAGCACGUAGGCGGUGUUGUAAGUCAUUAGUCAAAGACUAGAGCUCAACUUUAGUAAGGCUAGUGAUACUAUAAUACUAGAGUAUCAGAGAGGAUUGCAGAAUUCCUGGUGUAGCGGUGAAAUGCGUAGAUAUCAGGAGGAAUACCGUUAGCGAAGGCGGCAAUCUGGCUGGAAACUGACGCUGAGGUGCGAAAGCGUGGGUAGCAAACAGGAUUAGAUACCCGGGUAGUC